This 288-nucleotide ribosomal RNA is filed under the name uncultured bacterium. RNAcentral describes it as "partial 16S ribosomal RNA". It matches the Rfam family "Bacterial small subunit ribosomal RNA", at positions 28 to 311 of the family's 1533-position model. The record is from RNAcentral.
GACGAACGCUGGCGGCGUGCUUAACACAUGCAAGUCGAGCGGUAAGGCCCUUUCGGGGGUACACGAGCGGCGAACGGGUGAGUAACACGUGGGUGACCUGCCCUCAGCUCUGGGGAUAAGCCUGGGAAACUGGGUCUAAUACUGGAUAUGACUCCACGGUGCAUGUCGUGGGGUGGAAAGCCUUGUGCGGCUGGAGGAGUCGGGGCCCGCGGCCUAUCAGCUUGGUUGGNGGGGUGAUGGCCUACCAAGGCGACGACGGGUAGCCGGCCUGAGAGGGCGACCGGCCAC